Molecule: ribosomal RNA, 445 nt
Filed under: uncultured bacterium
Lineage: Bacteria
Description: partial 16S ribosomal RNA
Rfam family: Bacterial small subunit ribosomal RNA
Source: RNAcentral
CCAGACUCCUACGGGAGGCAGCAGUGGGGGAUAUUGCACAAUGGGGGGAACCCUGAUGCAGCGACGCCGCGUGGGUGAAGAAGCGCCUCGGCGCGUAAAGCCCUGUCAGCAGGGAAGAAAAUGACGGUACCUGAAGAAGAAGCCCCGGCUAACUACGUGCCAGCAGCCGCGGUAAUACGUAGGGGGCAAGCGUUAUCCGGAUUUACUGGGGGUAAAGGGGGCGCAGACGGCAGCGCAAGCCAGGAGUGAAAGCCCGGGGCCCAACCCCGGGACUGCUCUGGAAACUGCGGCGCUGGAGUCCGGGAGGGGCAGGCGGAAUUCCUGGGGGAGCGGUGAAAUGCGUAGAUAUCAGGAGGAACACCGGCGGCGAAGGCGGCCUGCUGGACCGCAACUGACGUUGAGGCCCGAAAGCGUGGGGAGCAAACAGGAUUAGAUACCCUAGUAA